Non-coding RNA from Pelobates cultripes (western spadefoot toad), 216 nucleotides. The record is from the annotation of a GenBank genome assembly. Lineage: Eukaryota; Metazoa; Chordata; Amphibia; Anura; Pelobatidae.
UUGGGUCCCAUGGCAGCAUGAUCUUUACCUUGAUACCGAGCACACCUUGCCGGAGGAGCAUAUGGCGUACAGCUGUAUCCACGUAGUAGUUGACAGGGUCUCCACUGUGGAUUAUCAAGCCAUCCACAAACUUCAUGGACUUGGCUUUCUGACCUCGCAGCUUGCCAGACACAACAACUUCACAACCCUUGGCGCCACUCUCCAUGAUGGUAAACA